GGCGAGAUGGCCGAGCGGUCUAAGGCGCCAGCUUAAGGUUGUUAUCAUCCAAAACGCUGGUCCGAAAGGGCGUGGGUUCAAAUCCCACUCUCGUCA
This 96-nucleotide transfer RNA is filed under the name Aureobasidium melanogenum CBS 110374. It matches the Rfam family "tRNA". From Rfam's summary of the family: Transfer RNA (tRNA) molecules are approximately 80 nucleotides in length. Their secondary structure includes four short double-helical elements and three loops (D, anti-codon, and T loops). Further hydrogen bonds mediate the characteristic L-shaped molecular structure. tRNAs have two regions of fundamental functional importance: the anti-codon, which is responsible for specific mRNA codon recognition, and the 3' end, to which the tRNAs corresponding amino acid is attached (by aminoacyl-tRNA synthetases). tRNAs cope with the degeneracy of the genetic code in two manners: having more than one tRNA (with a specific anti-codon) for a particular amino acid; and 'wobble' base-pairing, i.e. permitting non-standard base-pairing at the 3rd anti-codon position. Lineage: Eukaryota; Fungi; Ascomycota; Dothideomycetes; Dothideales; Saccotheciaceae. The record is from Rfam by way of RNAcentral.